RNAcentral lists this ribosomal RNA (642 nucleotides) under uncultured beta proteobacterium. RNAcentral describes it as "bacterial SSU rRNA". It matches the Rfam family "Bacterial small subunit ribosomal RNA", at positions 8 to 643 of the family's 1533-position model. Lineage: Bacteria; Pseudomonadati; Pseudomonadota; Betaproteobacteria. The record is from RNAcentral.
AGACUUUGAUCCUGGCUCAGAUUGAACGCUGGCGGAAUGCUUUACACAUGCAAGUCGAACGGCAGCACGGGUGCUUGCACCUGGUGGCGAGUGGCGAACGGGUGAGUAAUGCGUCGGAACGUACCGAGUAAUGGGGGAUAACGCAGCGAAAGUUGUGCUAAUACCGCAUACGCCCUGAGGGGGAAAGUGGGGGAUCGCAAGACCUCACGUUAUUCGAGCGGCCGACGUCUGAUUAGCUAGUUGGUGGGGUAAUGGCUCACCAAGGCGACGAUCAGUAGCGGGUCUGAGAGGAUGAUCCGCCACACUGGAACUGAGACACGGUCCAGACUCCUACGGGAGGCAGCAGUGGGGAAUUUUGGACAAUGGGGGAAACCCUGAUCCAGCCAUUCCGCGUGAGUGAAGAAGGCCUUCGGGUUGUAAAGCUCUUUCAGCUGGAAAGAAACGGUGCGCUCUAACAUAGCGUGCUAAUGACGGUACCAGCAGAAGAAGCACCGGCUAACUACGUGCCAGCAGCCGCGGUAAUACGUAGGGUGCGAGCGUUAAUCGGAAUUACUGGGCGUAAAGCGUGCGCAGGCGGAUUGUUAAGCAAGAUGUGAAAUCCCCGGGCUUAACCUGGGAAUGGCAUUUUGAACUGGCAGUCUA